Molecule: long non-coding RNA, 724 nt
Filed under: Phoenix dactylifera (date palm)
Lineage: Eukaryota; Viridiplantae; Streptophyta; Magnoliopsida; Arecales; Arecaceae
Description: long non-coding RNA (PDAC_LNC003610)
Source: RNAcentral
UUUAAAUGUAGAAACUAAUUUUUCUGUAUUUUUAACUCCGAAAAUUAAAAUUUCUGUAGUUUUAUAUGCAGAAAAUAUAAUUUACUGUUUUUUCUUAAUCCAAAAAAUAUAUUUUUCUGUUUUGAAGUGCAGAAAUUUAAUUCUCAGAAUUUAAAGUGCAGAAAAAAUGAAUGAUAUAAUGCAAACACAAUAAUAAAGAUUCCUAGAUAUGCAGGACUUAUUUGCUCUAAUAUCACUUUGGUGCAACCUAUAAUCGAUUACUACAAGUGUAGAUUGAUUUCAUAAUAAUCAAUUAUGGUGCGAUUGAUUAGACACUUCAGCAAAUACUUAUCAUCCCAAAAGAUCAUCAUAAAGGUAUAUGAAUACAAAACAGAACAUGAUAGAUAUCUUAUUAAUGAAACCUAAUCAAUAAAAUAUAACUUGUGCAACAAACUGAAAAUAAUCGCAAUAGAACAAUAAAAAAAAUACUGCCAGUAAACUCGGAUUCCAAGGAUGUGAUAGAUGGCAACAAUGGUAAUAAUAAUGGGUGGAGAUAAUGAUUGAUGAACGAAGAAACAAAGGUUGGGCAAAAGAUGGCGAUAGAACUAGUCGGAUAAUUACUUCUGCGAGUUUGGUCCCUCCAAUCCAAUGAGAAUCUUUAGGCCGCGCUCCACCAAGGUAUCGAGAUGAAGGAUGACGGGGUCAAGAAGGUGGCUCCAAGAAGAAAUAGGUCAAGAAGCAGGAU